RNAcentral lists this ribosomal RNA (253 nucleotides) under uncultured bacterium. Its description in RNAcentral is "partial 16S ribosomal RNA". It matches the Rfam family "Bacterial small subunit ribosomal RNA", at positions 524 to 776 of the family's 1533-position model. The record is from RNAcentral. RNAcentral also lists the same sequence under 2 other names.
UACGAAGGGUGCAAACGUUGCUCGGAAUUAUUGGGCGUAAAGCGCACGUAGGCGGCUCCGCAAGUCGGAUGUGAAAUCCCUCGGCUCAACCAAGGAAGUGCAUCCGAAACUGCAGAGCUUGAGUACCAAAGAGGAUCGCGGAAUUCCCGGUGUAGAGGUGAAAUUCGUAGAUAUCGGGAGGAACACCAGUGGCGAAGGCGGCGAUCUGGGUGGAUACUGACGCUGAGGUGCGAAAGCGUGGGGAGCAAACAGG